UACGGAGGAGGCAAGCGUUAUCCGGAAUUAUUGGGCGUAAAGCGUCCGCAGGUGGUUUAUCAAGUCAGCUGUUAAAGCGUGGGGCUUAACUCCAUAAGGGCAGUUGAAACUGAUAGGCUAUAGUGCGAUAGGGGCAAGGGGAAUUCCCAGUGUAGCGGUGAAAUGCGUAGAUAUUGGGAAGAACACCGGUGGCGAAAGCGCCUUGCUGGGUCUGCACUGACACUGAGGGACGAAAGCUAGGGG
RNAcentral lists this ribosomal RNA (243 nucleotides) under Pseudanabaena sp. AL5. RNAcentral's name for it is "partial 16S ribosomal RNA". It matches the Rfam family "Bacterial small subunit ribosomal RNA", at positions 524 to 766 of the family's 1533-position model. Lineage: Bacteria; Bacillati; Cyanobacteriota; Cyanophyceae; Pseudanabaenales; Pseudanabaenaceae. The record is from RNAcentral.